This 253-nucleotide ribosomal RNA is filed under the name uncultured bacterium. RNAcentral's name for it is "partial 16S ribosomal RNA". It matches the Rfam family "Bacterial small subunit ribosomal RNA", at positions 524 to 776 of the family's 1533-position model. The record is from RNAcentral. RNAcentral also lists the same sequence under 1 other name.
UACGGAGGGUGCAAGCGUUAGUCGGAAUUACUGGGCGUAAAGGGCGCGUAGGCGGAAAUAUAAGUCAGACGUGAAAUUCCGGGGCUUAACCUCGGAGCUGCAUCUGAAACUAUAUUUCUAGAGGAAGGGCGGAGAAAACGGAAUUCCACAUGUAGCGGUGAAAUGCGUAGAUAUGUGGAGGAACACCUGUGGCGAAAGCGGUUUUCUAGCUUAUUCCUGACGCUGAUGCGCGAAAGCAAGGGGAGCAAACAGG